GUAACCUACCCGUGCCAGGCUGCCAACCACCGCCCUUGCACCUUAUCCCCAUCCCCUCGUCCUCGCGCUCAACCCACGGCCCUGGCGCCGUCGCCGCCGUAUUCGCUCUCCACCACGGUCCUGCUGCCGUCGCCGCCGUCCUCGCGCUCUCUCUGAGAUCCAGCCGCCAUCCUCGCGCUCCGCCCAUGAUGCAGCAACCGUCGCCGCGCUCUGCCCGGGAUCGAGCCGCCGUCCUCCGCGCUCUGCCUGAGAUCCAUCCGCCGUCCUCGCGCUCAUGGAUCCACCCCCUCCCCUGAUCCCCGUCCUCCAGCCCCCAACUUUGUCUGCCAUCUCCCUCGCGCUUCUCCCCUGCCGCUCCCCGGGCCCCAGCCCUACCAUGAGCUCUCCAUCCGUGCUCCCCGUUCCUACUGCCGCUGAUAGAGAUCCAUCCACGAGCUCUCCAUCCCGCUGCGCCCCUCCCAAAGCCAGCCGUCUGUUGCUGCAGAUAUCCGCACAGACUCGUCUUUUCCAAUAGGAGCGGUUGUACAUGAUGUUGAGCCUACAGGGCAGCAAGUACGUGGUACUACCUGUCAACGAGGACGAGGAGGUGGGCGAGCGGAGGGCGCCGAGGUGGACCCUGAGUCCAGUCAGCGUUUGAGGAGGCACAUUCCAAUUUUAUUCUCCAUCACUUUUGAAUACACUGGAUAUUUAUGAAUAACGGUGUCUUUGUUUGAUAUAAUUUUUUUAUGUGAGCACGGUGAAGUUUUCCUUUUUCAUGAAUAUGGCACUAGCAUUCAAACCUUAGGUUCAACAUAUAAUCUCAUCUUCCUCUGCAUCCACAUACCUUCAACUACUUGAAGCUGGAUAUGGUUUCCAGAGGGGAGUUGCAAGUUCCAAUCACAUUCAAACCUUAGAGGCCGCCUUGGUGCAGUGGCUAGAUAGUUUCAGAAUUCAGACUUUCAAUGUAAUUUUAUGAGAUGUUAAUGUUCAUUCUGGUUGAUGGCAUAAUAUUUGUUCUUUUGACAAGUUCAUUCAUUAUACUAACCAAGUACAUAACUUGCAGACCUUUGGCCUUUACUUUAUGAUUUGAUUUAUGGGAAGUCGAGUUAUCUAUAUUGAACACAUUUUUCCUUUUUUCCAGGAUGGUUGAUACAUGUCUACACAUUUUGUCAGAGCAAUUUGCAGUGGAAGAAGUAGCCUCAAACUGAUAAGAAGGCACCUGCUAUUUCACGGUUAUUGUUGUAGAUCAAGGAUGACAAGAAGGCAACUAAUGUACCAGGUGCAGGUACUAAACAUACGACAUACAUUAAGUUUAUUAUUUCUCUCUUAGAAAUAUACAUAGAUCAUUUUGAGCCUUGACUAGAGAGCCAGAUUUCUGCCUGAACUUAUAGCAUUACUAGAUAUGUUUUGUAUCUUGUUGAUAAAACACCACAUACUGCAGUUUAUAAUUAAAAAUAUGAAAAUGACACAACAUGAUUUGAAGCGCACAUACAUUGCUUAGGAGUUAAACAUACACACAUUAGUUUGGUGUUAUCCCUUUGGUGGUCACAAUCUGAAAAUCACAUGGCAUAAACUGAACUUCACAUAUUACAAUUUUUUUGGUCAGAACUUGUACAUUUUAGUUCUACUUCAUCAGAUAACGUACAAACACUUAUUUGUACCAUUAUUUUCAAACUUUGAAGAUCACAUCAGCUAACUUCGUAUUAGAACAAAUACAACUUCACAUUGGCUUAUCCUACUACAUUUUCUUGCAUGUAAGACGUUGAAUAAAAUUUGUAGAUAUGCUUGCCAUGGCGAAAUACUUAUUCUAUGCAUAUGUAGAUAUGUAUGCAUGAUGAUUCGUUUCAGCAUUUUAUAAAUAUUUGACCUCAUGUAUGACAGAACUAUGUUAUGUGUGUUAUGGAUAUAUGUCAUAAAUAGUUAAUUCUUGUGCUUCUCUCGGCUGCCAAUCUCCCUAUGAGCUUCAAAGCACUUGAGCUGAUUCCACUUUGUACCAAAUUCUUGUGGAGUAUUUUCAGGUAAUCAGCAACAGAUGUGAUGACUUUGAAGUGUUCUGGAGCAUUUGGCUGUCUAUAGUAUUUUGGACCAGCCAACUUAAUUGUAAUCGUGAAUCUUAUGUGUUUUCUAGACCAUUUGGUGCUCAAGUGUUAUGGAGUAGAAAUCUUGUGCUCAUGGAUGUUACUCAAUUAUUUGGACCAUCUAGUGUUUGAACUAUUUUAGACCAGUGAAUUGGGGUCCUUUUAUGUGACUUGUGUUUUCUGGAUGGUUGCCAAGAUGGCCAAGCUUUGCUUUUGUGAA
Triticum aestivum (bread wheat) is the source of this 2277-nucleotide long non-coding RNA. RefSeq lists it as uncharacterized. The transcript has 2 exons. Lineage: Eukaryota; Viridiplantae; Streptophyta; Magnoliopsida; Poales; Poaceae. The record is from RefSeq and is a predicted model, not a curated record.